RNAcentral lists this ribosomal RNA (479 nucleotides) under uncultured bacterium. RNAcentral's name for it is "partial 16S ribosomal RNA". It matches the Rfam family "Bacterial small subunit ribosomal RNA", at positions 28 to 507 of the family's 1533-position model. The record is from RNAcentral.
GAUGAACGCUAGCGGGAGGCCUAACACAUGCAAGCCGAGCGGUAGAGUCUCUUCGGAGACUUGAGAGCGGCGCACGGGUGCGGAACACGUGUGCAACCUGCCUUUAUCUGGGGGAUAGCCUUUCGAAAGGAAGAUUAAUACCCCAUAAUAUACUGGAUGGCAUCAUCUGGUAUUGAAAACUCCGGUGGAUAGAGAUGGGCACGCGCAAGAUUAGAUAGUUGGUGAGGUAACGGCUCACCAAGUCAGCGAUCUUUAGGGGGCCUGAGAGGGUGAUCCCCCACACUGGUACUGAGACACGGACCAGACUCCUACGGGAGGCAGCAGUGAGGAAUAUGGGACAAGGGGUGAGAGCCUGAUCCAGCCAUCCCGCGUGAAGGACGACGGCCCUAUGGGUUGUAAACUUCUUUUGUAUAGGGAUAAACCUAGAUACGUGUAUCUAGCUGAAGGUACUAUACGAAUAAGCACCGGCUAACUCCGUG